GUUUAACGUCUUUUGGUUUGACGCGGUCGGGGAUCGAAUGUGAUCGACCUUCUGCUCAUAGGGCGGACGCUCUAACCACUACACCACGGAGUCGGUCGACGAGGCUGUAAGUCAACUGACGGAGCUUGCUAAAUGAAGUCUUUCACUAAGGCCACAUCACACCGGUGUGAUCUGUAUAUACUCUGGUGCAUAGCAAUCUAGUUUUCGGUUAUAACCCUAAUUAGUAACAAACAUGGUACCGAGUCUGUGUAAACGCUGCCUGAACAUGGGCAACUUAUGGAGAUGUGAUCAACUAUUCUUGCCUCAGCAGGUACAUAUUGUUCGUUAAUCGUAUUUGUAGAUUGAUUUUUUUCGGCUAGAUAUGCACAGAAUGGAACUUGUAAUGUGAAAGUAUUUUAUUUUAAUAUAAUCAUAAUCAAUUGUUACAAAAGAAUAUGAAGCUUAAUAUAGCAUGGCACACAAACAUAUUGUCUUAUCUUUGUGGUUGACAUAACGCACGCCAAUAAGGCAUUUGUAUUGCAUAAGAAAUAUUGCACUGUACGAGAAAUAGAGUGAGUGAGUGAGUUUGUGAGUGAGUUCUGUUUUGUGCAACGUUUGGCAAUAAUCAAGCUAAGAAUUGGCUUCAGUGAAUGAAGAA
Long non-coding RNA from Haliotis rubra (blacklip abalone), 637 nucleotides. RefSeq lists it as uncharacterized. Lineage: Eukaryota; Metazoa; Mollusca; Gastropoda; Lepetellida; Haliotidae. The transcript is spliced from 2 exons. The record is from RefSeq and is a predicted model, not a curated record.